Molecule: non-coding RNA, 376 nt
Organism: Chiloscyllium plagiosum (whitespotted bambooshark)
Lineage: Eukaryota; Metazoa; Chordata; Chondrichthyes; Orectolobiformes; Hemiscylliidae
Source: RefSeq, a predicted model, not a curated record
GGGUGGUACUAAGUCAGCACUGCGAUACCCAUGGUCCGGAGGAAUGCUGCAAGAAUGUCAACAAUCUUCUUCUCUGUACCAGUUCCAGGAGAAAACAGCCCAUAACAGGGUGGAAAGAGCCUAAAUGGAUGGAGACAUGCUUGACAUUGAGUUUCUAUCCCACUGAGGACAGAAUCCUGUUGCCUGCAGAAGACAACUGAGGCCAUUCCUGUGGGGAUGCUGAGACAUCAACCGAAUAACAGCAGGAUGUCCACUGCCCCUGCCAAGAAAAAGCCAGCUCUGCCAGAAAGCACAUCCUUGACCUCUAAGGAAGAGCAUUCUGAGGCCUCAAAAGAAGCAUUGGCAACGCAACCUUCAGCGCCCCCACAAGCUCAGA